This 253-nucleotide ribosomal RNA is filed under the name uncultured bacterium. RNAcentral describes it as "partial 16S ribosomal RNA". It matches the Rfam family "Bacterial small subunit ribosomal RNA", at positions 524 to 776 of the family's 1533-position model. The record is from RNAcentral.
GACGAACCGUACGAACGUUAUUCGGAAUCACUGGGCUUAAAGGGUGUGUAGGCGGCGCUAAAAGUUGGGUGUGAAAUCCCUCGGCUUAACCGAGGAACUGCGCCCAAAACUGUAGUGCUUGAGGGAGAUAGAGGUGAGCGGAACUUAGGGUGGAGCGGUGAAAUGCGUUGAUAUCCUAAGGAACGCCAGGGGCGAAAGCGGCUCACUGGGUCUCUUCUGACGCUGAGGCACGAAAGCUAGGGUAGCGAACGGG